This 406-nucleotide ribosomal RNA is filed under the name uncultured bacterium. RNAcentral describes it as "partial 16S ribosomal RNA". It matches the Rfam family "Bacterial small subunit ribosomal RNA", at positions 29 to 526 of the family's 1533-position model. The record is from RNAcentral.
AUUGAACGCUGGCGGCAGGCCUAACACAUGCAAGUCGAACGAGUGGCGGACGGGUGAGUAAUGUAUGGGAAACUGCCCGAUGGAGGGGGAUAACUGCUGGAAAAGGUGGCUAAUACCGCAUACCAUCGGCUGUGCCCAGAUGGGAUUUGCUAGUAGGUGGGGUAACGUCUCACCUAGGCGACGCUCCCUAGCUGGUCUGAGAGGGUGACCAGCCACACUGGGACGGAGACACGGUCCAGACGCCAACGGGAGACAGCAGUGGGGAAUAUUGCACCAAGGGCGCAGGACUGAUGCAGCAAGGCCGCAAGAAUGAAGAAGGCCCUCGGGUUGUAAAAAGCUUGCGGCAGGGAGGCGUUACGUGCAGAAGAAGCAACGGCUAACUCCGUGCCAGCAGCCGCGGUAAUAC